RNAcentral lists this long non-coding RNA (212 nucleotides) under Chinchilla lanigera (long-tailed chinchilla). Its description in RNAcentral is "lncRNA (ENSCLAG00000022616.1)". Lineage: Eukaryota; Metazoa; Chordata; Mammalia; Rodentia; Chinchillidae. The record is from RNAcentral.
GUCCACCUUUGGAGGGAAGCUUCUCGCUGAGACAGGCUGGGCCAACCCAGGAACUCUCUUGGAGACUCAGCCUUAAACCUUACCCUCAAGUCAACAGAGACGUUUCAGCAAUGUCAGGAAAGACGCUUGUGAGCUGUGUUUGCUCUUCCAAAGCUCUUCCUUCUCCACAGCCAUGUAUUAAUACCCAGUGCUACUAAGCUCACUUGCUUUAC